UCUCGGGUCAGUCAGGGUCCGACUCAGUCUCUGCUGGUUCAGCAGUAUUGUACUAACAGGGGGGUUAAUGUGUUACUCACGUUGGGGAAUCCCCCAGUUCUACCUUCCACUUGUAGCCUAGCUUAGCAGAACUAAUCAGUGAUUUCACUCAUUGCCUGCAGGUUCUCCUGUUCUUUCAUCUCGUGUUUCUUUUCUUUCAUUCUUCCACUAACAAUAAAACACAAGCUGACAAUGCAAAGCCAAGCAACAUGUUACAAGUUGUAACUUUGGAACUUGUGAUUUCACAGAAGAGUGAGACAGGUAGUGUGUUUGGUUUCUGGAUCCAGACUAAAGACGAGUUACUUCCUGUAAUGCAGGCUCAGAGCUGUCUGCAGUCAGUUGUAGUGUUUGCACAGAAGAUAUGAUGCCAUGUAAAGCGUUCCAUCAGUCGGCUCGUGUCAGGACUCUGAAGCGGGCUGACUCUAACAACAAACUGUUAUUUAAACCUGAGACAUAACUUUUGGGAUUGUGUUCCUACAGGAUCAAUGACAAGUUGAUCACAGCUGAGAAACACACAACAUAGGACUCCAUCAAACUGGAUGUGUGAACAAACCUGCCCGAGGAAGACAGCAAGGUGAAAGAGGAGCAGCUGCACAGUGUGAAGUAUAUUUAUGGAGCUUCACCACAGAAUCAAAUGUAGUUAUUGGUAAUUGUUUGCCUGGGACCGACCUGCAGGCUCAGCUUGUAUUAGCUCAGAUCAACUGGUCCUCCUGCUGGAGAGACGAGUGGAAGAUGGAGCAGUUCAUAUCUAGAGAUUUGGUAAUGUUGCUAAAUGCCUUGUGGUGUAAUGAACUUGUAAGCUUGAACAAAGUGCAUCAACCUGUUCACCUUUCAUAAGUUCUCUUGCUGGAGUUCUGAUAUACACUUGUACUUGUUUAAACUUCAUCAGACUUCUUGUUUUUGAUACUCAUCGUCUCAUCUUAAACAUUAUUCUUCAUUUCUACAUUAAACUGCGUAUUAGUGGAAGUACUUUGUGAUUUGAAGAGAACAUUUAGUUCUCAGAGGAGACGACUCCUGAUGAUGUCAUCAAGAGAAAAGCAAUAGAAGGGAUUUUAUUUGUAUCUUUUAUCAUUUAGUUUGUAAGUUUUAUGCAUUAUGAGAACAUUGUGUUAAGAUGUUCCUUUGUUAUGGUUUGUAACUUCAUAAUGUGCUUUCCUUGUGUUUUUAUAUGCACACAUUGUAGAUGUGUUUGUCUCAGGAGUUUCCCACGCGUCCCAGCCGGGCACAGCGAGUGUUAUCAGGAGGUGUUUCAAGUCUCUCUCUCUCAGUGGGGGGCAGAGGACCAGGGCUCAGUCGCAGGUUAUUGGGCUCGUAUACUUUAUGGCACCCAACCAUCUGGGGGUACAGGGCCUGUUGCUCUGUACCAGGGGUCUCCAACUCUUCUUCAUCUGAGAGAUACUUUAACUCAUGAAUUAUUCAUGUUUACUCAUGAAGUUAAAGAAUAUAUUACAUUAUAACUUUUAAACACUAAAACUAAUAACUUUCUAACUUCAUGGUGAACUCUUUAAAGAAGAAGAACGUAAGUGUUUCUCAUUAUAAUGACAUAUUACUGAAGUUGAUUUAUUCCAGCUCUAUUUCAUAUUUCUUAUUGUUGUUAUGCAUUUAUUUGUAUUCUUCUUCUUGUUUCUCUGUUUAUGUUGAGUACAUGUCUCAUCAUGUGUGUAUUUGAAGGUUUUUCUAUUAGAAUUGAAGGAUUAAAAACAUCAUUCAUGUUCUCCUCA
This is a long non-coding RNA of Cottoperca gobio, 1760 nucleotides long. RefSeq lists it as uncharacterized. The record is from RefSeq and is a predicted model, not a curated record. The transcript is spliced from 2 exons. Lineage: Eukaryota; Metazoa; Chordata; Actinopteri; Perciformes; Bovichtidae.